CCUAUGGGAGGCAGCAGUGAGGAAUCUUGGUCAAUGGGCGCGAGCCUGAACCAGCAAAGUAGCGUGAAGGAUGAAUGCCCUACGGGUUGUAAACUUCUUUUAUAAAGGAAUAAAGUGAGGCACGUGUGCCUUUUUGUAUGUACUUUAUGUAUAAGGAUAGGCUAACUCCGUGCCAGCAGCCGCGGUAAUACGGAGGGUCCGAGCGUUAUCCGGAUUUAUUGGGUUUAAAGGGAGCGUAGAUGGGUUGUUAAGUCAGUUGUGAAAGUUUGCGGCUCAACCGUAAAAGUGCAAUUGAUACUGGCAGCCUUGAGUACAGUAGAGGUAGGCGGAAUUCGAUGUGUAGCGGUGAAAUGCGUAGAUAUCACGAAGAACUCCGAUUGCGAAGGCAGCUUACUAAACUGCCACUGACAUUGAUGUUCGAAAGUGUGGGUAGCAAACAGGAUUAGAUACCCCUGUAGUC
Molecule: ribosomal RNA, 460 nt
Filed under: uncultured bacterium
Lineage: Bacteria
Description: partial 16S ribosomal RNA
Rfam family: Bacterial small subunit ribosomal RNA
Source: RNAcentral